Molecule: non-coding RNA, 25 nt
Filed under: Mus musculus (house mouse)
Lineage: Eukaryota; Metazoa; Chordata; Mammalia; Rodentia; Muridae
Source: RNAcentral
UCAUGCUGCUGCCGCACAACCUGGC